Molecule: ribosomal RNA, 425 nt
Filed under: uncultured bacterium
Lineage: Bacteria
Description: bacterial SSU rRNA
Rfam family: Bacterial small subunit ribosomal RNA
Source: RNAcentral
GUGGGGAAUAUUGCACAAUGGGCGAAAGCCUGAUGCAGCAACGCCGCGUGAGUGAUGAAGGCCUUCGGGUUGUAAAACUCUGUCUUUGGGGACGAUAAUGACGGUACCCAAGGAGGAAGCCACGGCUAACUACGUGCCAGCAGCCGCGGUAAUACGUAGGUGGCAAGCGUUAUCCGGAUUAACUGGGCGUAAAGGGUUCGUAGGCGGACUGUUAAGUCAGAUGUGAAAUUCUGGGGCUCAACCCCAGCGCUGCAUUUGAUACUGGCAGUCUAGAGUGCGGGAGAGGAGAGUGGAAUUCCUAGUGUAGCGGUGAAAUGCGUAGAGAUUAGGAAGAACACCAGUGGCGAAGGCGACUCUCUGGACCGUAACUGACGCUGAGGAACGAAAGCGUGGGGAGCAAACAGGAUUAGAUACCCUUGUAGUCC